Molecule: ribosomal RNA, 463 nt
Filed under: Staphylococcus aureus
Lineage: Bacteria; Bacillati; Bacillota; Bacilli; Caryophanales; Staphylococcaceae
Description: partial 23S ribosomal RNA
Rfam family: Bacterial large subunit ribosomal RNA
Source: RNAcentral
AGCGCUUAGAAGUGAGAAUGCCGGUGUGAGUAGCGAAAGACGGGUGAGAAUCCCGUCCACCGAUUGACUAAGGUUUCCAGAGGAAGGCUCGUCCGCUCUGGGUUAGUCGGGUCCUAAGCUGAGGCCGACAGGCGUAGGCGAUGGAUAACAGGUUGAUAUUCCUGUACCACCUAUAAUCGUUUUAAUCGAUGGGGGGACGCAGUAGGAUAGGCGAAGCGUGCGAUUGGAUUGCACGUCUAAGCAGUAAGGCUGAGUAUUAGGCAAAUCCGGUACUCAUUAAGGCUGAGCUGUGAUGGGGAGAAGACAUUGUGUCUUCGAGUCGUUGAUUUCACACUGCCGAGAAAAGCCUCUAGAUAGAAAAUAGGUGCCCGUACCGCAAACCGACACAGGUAGUCAAGAUGAGAAUUCUAAGGUGAGCGAGCGAACUCUCGUUAAGGAACUCGGCAAAAUGACCCCGUAACUU